RNAcentral lists this ribosomal RNA (278 nucleotides) under uncultured bacterium. RNAcentral's name for it is "partial 16S ribosomal RNA". It matches the Rfam family "Bacterial small subunit ribosomal RNA", at positions 511 to 788 of the family's 1533-position model. The record is from RNAcentral.
GCAGCCGCGGUAAUACGGAGGAUGCGAGCGUUAUCCGGAUUUAUUGGGUUUAAAGGGAGCGUAGACGGGAUGUUAAGUCAGUUGUGAAAUGCUGUGGCUCAACCAUAGCACUGCAGUUGAUACUGGCGUUCUUGAGUGCGUAUGAGGUACGUGGAAUUCGUGGUGUAGCGGUGAAAUGCUUAGAUAUCACGAAGAACUCCUAUUGCGAAGGCAGCGUACCAAUCCGUAACUGACGUUGAGGCUCGAAAGUGUGGGUAUCAAACAGGAUUAGAUACCCC